AGGAUAUUAGUUAAAAUAUAUAACAAUUAAAUUGCAUUUAAUAAUUAUUAGAAAUAUAUCUUA
This 63-nucleotide transfer RNA is filed under the name Andrena chekiangensis. RNAcentral describes it as "tRNA-Ala". Lineage: Eukaryota; Metazoa; Arthropoda; Insecta; Hymenoptera; Andrenidae. The record is from RNAcentral.